RNAcentral lists this ribosomal RNA (399 nucleotides) under uncultured bacterium. RNAcentral describes it as "bacterial SSU rRNA". It matches the Rfam family "Bacterial small subunit ribosomal RNA", at positions 87 to 484 of the family's 1533-position model. The record is from RNAcentral.
GAUGGCGACCGGCGCACGGGUGAGUAACACGUAUCCAACCUGCCGUCUACUCUUGGACAGCCUUCUGAAAGGAAGAUUAAUACAAGAUGGCAUCAUGAGUCCGCAUGUUCACAUGAUUAAAGGUAUUCCGGUAGACGAUGGGGAUGCGUUCCAUUAGAUAGUAGGCGGGGUAACGGCCCACCUAGUCUUCGAUGGAUAGGGGUUCUGAGAGGAAGGUCCCCCACAUUGGAACUGAGACACGGUCCAAACUCCUACGGGAGGCAGCAGUGAGGAAUACUGGUCAAUGGGCGCAGGCCUGAACCAGCCAAGUAGCGUGAAGGAUGACUGCCCUAUGGGUUGUAAACUUCUUUUAUAAAGGAAUAAAGUCGGGUAUGUAUACCCGUUUGCAUGUACUUUAUG